This 471-nucleotide ribosomal RNA is filed under the name uncultured bacterium. RNAcentral describes it as "bacterial SSU rRNA". It matches the Rfam family "Bacterial small subunit ribosomal RNA", at positions 29 to 533 of the family's 1533-position model. The record is from RNAcentral.
AGCGAACGCUAGCGGCGAGCUUAACACAUGCAAGUCGAGCGGAGGGUUUCGGCCCUCAGCGGCGGACGGGUGAGUAACACGUAGGUUACGUGCCCUUUGGUGGGGAAUAACUUAGGGAAACCUGAGCUAAUACCGCAUAUGCCCUUCGAGGUGAAAGUCUUCGGACGCCAGAGGAUCGGCCUGCGGCCCAUUAUUUAAUCCUUGUUGGUGGGGUAACGGCCUACCAAGGGUACGAUCCAUAGCUGGUUUGAGAGGAUGAUCAGCCACACUGGGACUGAGACACGGCCCAGACUCCUACGGGAGGCAGCAGUGGGGAAUCUUAGACAAUGGGGGAAACCCUGAUCUAGCCAUGCCGCGUGAUCGAUGAAGGCCUUAGGGUUGUAAAGAUCUUUCAGGUGGGAAGAUAAUGACUGUACCACCAGAGGAAGCCCCGGCUAACUACGUGCCAGCAGCCGCGGUAAUGUACAGUGU